UACAGAGGUCUCAAGCGUUGUUCGGAUUCAUUGGGCGUAAAGGGUGCGUAGGCGGCGCGGUAAGUCGGGUGUGAAAUCUCGGAGCUUAACUCCGAAACUGCAUUCGAUACUGCCGUGCUUGAGGACUGGAGAGGAGACUGGAAUUUACGGUGUAGCGGUGAAAUGCUUAGAUAUGACAUAGAACACCGAUAGCGUAGGCAGCUUGCUACACGAAUAUUGACACUGAGGCACGAAAGCGUGGGGAUCAAACAGG
Molecule: ribosomal RNA, 253 nt
Filed under: uncultured bacterium
Lineage: Bacteria
Description: partial 16S ribosomal RNA
Rfam family: Bacterial small subunit ribosomal RNA
Source: RNAcentral